Molecule: ribosomal RNA, 491 nt
Filed under: uncultured bacterium
Lineage: Bacteria
Description: partial 16S ribosomal RNA
Rfam family: Bacterial small subunit ribosomal RNA
Source: RNAcentral
AGUGAACGCUGGCGGUAGGCCUAACACAUGCGAGUCGAACGGCAGCACAGUAAGAGCUUGCUCUUACGGGUGGCGAGUGGCGGACGGGUGAGGAAUACAUCGGAAUCUACUUUUUCGUGGGGGAUAACGUAGGGAAACUUACGCUAAUACCGCAUACGACCUACGGGUGAAAGCAGGGGAUCUUCGGACCUUGCGCGAUUGAAUGAGCCGAUGUCGGAUUAGCUAGUUGGCGGGGUAAAGGCCCACCAAGGCGACGAUCCGUAGCUGGUCUGAGAGGAUGAUCAGCCACACUGGAACUGAGACACGGUCCAGACUCCUACGGGAGGCAGCAGUGGGGAAUAUUGGACAAUGGGCGCAAGCCUGAUCCAGCCAUACCGCGUGGGUGAAGAAGGCCUUCGGGUUGUAAAGCCCUUUUGUUGGGAAAGAAAAGCAGCAGGUUAAUACCCCGCUGUUCUGACGGGACCCAAAGAAUAAGCACCGGCUAACUUCGU